This 450-nucleotide ribosomal RNA is filed under the name uncultured bacterium. Its description in RNAcentral is "partial 16S ribosomal RNA". It matches the Rfam family "Bacterial small subunit ribosomal RNA", at positions 338 to 795 of the family's 1533-position model. The record is from RNAcentral.
CCUACGGGGGGCUGCAGUGGGGAAUUUUGGACAAUGGGCGAAAGCCUGAUCCAGCCAUGCCGCGUGAGUGAAGAAGGCCUUCGGGUUGUAAAGCUCUUUCGCAAGGAAAGAAAACUUAGCUACUAAUACUAGUUGAGGAUGACGGUACCUUGAUAAGAAGCACCGGCUAACUACGUGCCAGCAGCCGCGGUAAUACGUAGGGUGCGAGCGUUAAUCGAAGCGACUGGGCGCGAAGCGGGCGCAGAGAUUUGAAAUCCCCGGGCUCAACCUGGGAACUGCGUUUGAAACUACAAGGCUAGAGUGUAGAAGAGGGGGGUAGAAUUCCACGUGUAGCAGUGAAAUGCGUAGAGAUGUGGAGGAAUACCGAUGGCGAAGGCAGCCCCCUGGGCUAACACUGACGCUCAUGCACGAAAGCGUGGGGAGCAAACAGGAUUAGAUACCCCAGUAGUC